CCUUACAUCAACAUUGCCCUCCAGUGCCCUACCCUCGCUCCGGCGUCCCUGCUUGUUCUGUCAACGAAUCGUGUAAGAAGUUGGACAGUUCAUCUUCGAGGUUUUGGUCUUCAAUACUUGUGGCAUCCUCAACAGUAUCCAUCAUGCAAACAUGAUAAUUUUAUCGACUUUAUUUAGACGUAACUCAAUCGUUUCCAGUCACCAAAACCAGCGACAAUAUUGAUGUUGGCCCAGCAACCGCGC
This is a non-coding RNA of Paramuricea clavata, 243 nucleotides long. NCBI's taxonomy places the organism in Eukaryota, Metazoa, Cnidaria, Anthozoa, Malacalcyonacea, Plexauridae. The record is from the annotation of a GenBank genome assembly.